UCCCCCGUAGCUCAGUUGGUAGAGCAUGGUGUUUGCAACGCCAGGGUUGUGGGUUCGAUUCCCACGGGGGGCC
Molecule: non-coding RNA, 73 nt
Organism: Salmo salar (Atlantic salmon)
Lineage: Eukaryota; Metazoa; Chordata; Actinopteri; Salmoniformes; Salmonidae
Source: Rfam